GACGAACGCUGGCGGCGUGCUUAACACAUGCAAGUCGAACGCUGAAGCUUGGUGCUUGCACUGGGUGGAUGAGUGGCGAACGGGUGAGUAAUACGUGAGUAACCUGCCCUUGACUCGGGGAUAAGCCUGGGAAACUGGGUCUAAUACUGGAUACGACAUGUCACCGCAUGGUGGUGUGUGGAAAGGGUUUUACUGGUUUUGGAUGGGCUCACGGCCUAUCAGCUUGUUGGUGGGGUAAUGGCUCACCAAGGCGACGACGGGUAGCCGGCCUGAGAGGGUGACCGGCCACACUGGGACUGAGAUACGGCCCAGACUCCUACGGGAGGCAGCAGUGGGGAAUAUUGCACAAUGGGCGGAAGCCUGAUGCAGCGACGCCGCGUGAGGGAUGACGGCCUUCGGGUUGUAAACCUCUUUCAGCACGGAAGAAGCGAAAGUGACGGUACGUGCAGAAGAAGCGCCGGCUAACUACGUG
This 472-nucleotide ribosomal RNA is filed under the name uncultured bacterium. RNAcentral describes it as "partial 16S ribosomal RNA". It matches the Rfam family "Bacterial small subunit ribosomal RNA", at positions 28 to 507 of the family's 1533-position model. The record is from RNAcentral.